RNAcentral lists this ribosomal RNA (492 nucleotides) under uncultured bacterium. RNAcentral describes it as "partial 16S ribosomal RNA". It matches the Rfam family "Bacterial small subunit ribosomal RNA", at positions 29 to 507 of the family's 1533-position model. The record is from RNAcentral.
AGUGAACGCUGGCGGUAGGCCUAACACAUGCAAGUCGAACGGCAGCACAGUAAGAGCUUGCUCUUACGGGUGGCGAGUGGCGGACGGGUGCGGAAUACAUCGGAAUCUACUUUUUCGUGGGGGAUAACGUAGGGAAACUUACGCUAAUACCGCAUACGACCUACUGGUGAAAGCAGGGGAUCUUCGGACCUUGCGCGAUUGAAUGAGCCGAUGUCGGAUUAGCUAGUUGGCGGGGUAAAGGCCCACCAAGGCGACGAUCCGUAGCUGGUCUGAGAGGAUGAUCAGCCACACUGGAACUGAGACACGGUCCAGACUCCUACGGGAGGCAGCAGUGGGGAAUAUUGGACAAUGGGCGCAAGCCUGAUCCAGCCAUGCCGCGUGGGUGAAGAAGGUCUUCGGGUUGUAAAGCCCUUUUAUUUGGAAAGAAAAGCAGCAGGUUAAUACCCCGCUGUUCUGACGGUACCCAAAGAAUAAGCACCGGCUAACUUCGUG